RNAcentral lists this long non-coding RNA (576 nucleotides) under Mustela putorius furo (domestic ferret). RNAcentral's name for it is "lncRNA (ENSMPUG00000026880.1)". The record is from RNAcentral. Lineage: Eukaryota; Metazoa; Chordata; Mammalia; Carnivora; Mustelidae.
GGUGGGUUCUAGAACCCAAAGAAGUGCUGACUGAACUAUGAUGGGUAUGAUAAAGGACUAGGUACUCGUAUGAAGGAGGAUUAUACUACACACAGGAAGCAGGAAUUCCCAGUGCUUCAGAGAGAGACCCAAGUUAAAACUUCUCCCAUGGAAUCUGAUCAGGCACAGAGAAGGAUGAAGGAGGGGAUGUCUUUACCUCUAUUUCCAACUGGUCCCCGAUUCCGAGAGAGGACAGUUAUCCUGAAGAUCCUUAUUUGCCUCAUCUAUGGACGGUUCAGACUGGAAGAAGAAUCUGCAUAAUUGUCCCUGCAGUUUCUCUAUCUCUCGGAGGGUUCAAGUGACAGAGGUUGUUAGCCCGAGAAACAGGAUGUUUGCAUUAUUGAUUAGGCUACGCUGUUUUGACUGAAUUAGUGGAGAAUAUCCUCGGCUGCUUAGCAUGUGUCACGUCCGCCUGCUUCUUGUCCAUCAAUUCUGGGGAGAUUCCGUGGCAGCCGCCUGUGUUAGACAUCACGUCUCACCUUGUCCUCUCAGCCUGCCGGUCACCUUACCCGCUGUGCUGAUUAAAAACCUUAUCUC